This 70-nucleotide transfer RNA is filed under the name Euaspis polynesia. RNAcentral describes it as "tRNA-Lys". The record is from RNAcentral. Lineage: Eukaryota; Metazoa; Arthropoda; Insecta; Hymenoptera; Megachilidae.
CAUUAAGUGUCUGAACAAAGAAUUGAUCUUUUAAAUCAAAUAAUAGUAUAAAUUUUUAUACUCUUAAUGA